Molecule: long non-coding RNA, 978 nt
Filed under: Mus caroli (Ryukyu mouse)
Lineage: Eukaryota; Metazoa; Chordata; Mammalia; Rodentia; Muridae
Description: lncRNA (MGP_CAROLIEiJ_G0006647.1)
Source: RNAcentral
ACCUCGCGGUAGACGGCCGUGGCGGGUGUCACGAGCCCGUAGUUGUCAUCGCAGCCAGCGGCGCCCGCUGAGCCGCCCAGGACUCCCGGGAGAGAGGCGCUGCAAGAGCCGCCGGUGGUGCCCGAGCCCCCCUCGCCAGAGCGGCCUUCGCUGACCAAGUCGAGGACAAGGAACUUCUGGAGUGCCAUGAUGACCUUGAAGGUGACAAUCCAUUCCUGGAAUAUCAUGACAGCUCCCAUGUGACAGAGUGAAAGCGGUACGCCAGAUCCACCACCCAGAUGGCAGGAUGCUUACAGAAGGACAGACAAUACAGUGCAGAUGAUUCCAGUGGGCAGCAAGUGUUGAGAGGCACCAAACUGGGCCACAGACUUAAAAGGUGACCCUAAGUAAACGGACAGGUGUGGAACGGACCAUGAGAAGCUGAGCCUGGAGAGAUGGCUCAGCAGUUAAGAGCACUGACUGCUCUUCCAGAAGACCUGAGUUCCGUUCCCAGCAGCGUGGCUCACAACCAUAUGAAAUUGAAUCAGAUGCCUUCCAAUGGUUACCUGAACUGCAGAUGGAUGUGUGCCAAAGACAGAAGAGAAACCUCUUCAGUGCCACUGUCUAUGACAGCCCUACAUCCUUUAGUGGCGAGUUAAGGGGACAUGUUAAAAUGCAUUCCUGCAACAAAGUUCCACCUGUGCGUGAACACUCAAUACCAUGGACCAGUGGUGACACAUGGAUAGCCGGUGACCAUGUGGUGGCUGUCAUUUGUCUUUAUAAAGUAGUCUUAUGUGACUGGAGCUCAUGGAGUGGUGGCAUAUGCAGUGUCCGGGACACAGGAGGAAUGCUUUCCUCAGAACGCCAGUUACACAUGUUUCUUAACUUGAGUGGAGGUGGGAGGCAGGUGUGUUCUCUUGGGAACUCUUCCACCUGUGCACUUUGGUGCACUUCUUGAGUGUUGAUCUUACAUAUUUUUAAUAAAAAAAAUUGAAAGUG